GAUGAACGCUGGCGGCGUGCCUAAUACAUGCAAGUCGAGCGAACAGACGAGGAGCUUGCUCCUCUGACGUUAGCGGCGGACGGGUGAGUAACACGUGGAUAACCUACCUAUAAGACUGGGAUAACUUCGGGAAACCGGAGCUAAUACCGGAUAAUAUAUUGAACCGCAUGGUUCAAUAGUGAAAGACGGUUUUGCUGUCACUUAUAGAUGGAUCCGCGCCGCAUUAGCUAGUUGGUAAGGUAACGGCUUACCAAGGCAACGAUGCGUAGCCGACCUGAGAGGGUGGUCGGCCACACUGGAACUGAGACACGGUCCAGACUCCGACGGGAGGCAGCAGUAGGGAAUCUUCCGCAAUGGGGGAAAGCCUGACGGAGCAACGCCGCGUGAGUGAUGAAGGUCUUCGGAUCGUAAAACUCUGUUAGUAGGGAAGAACAAAUGUGUAAGUAACUAUGCACGUCUUGACGGUACCUAAUCAGAAAGCCACGGCUAACUACGUG
This 497-nucleotide ribosomal RNA is filed under the name uncultured bacterium. RNAcentral describes it as "partial 16S ribosomal RNA". It matches the Rfam family "Bacterial small subunit ribosomal RNA", at positions 28 to 507 of the family's 1533-position model. The record is from RNAcentral.